RNAcentral lists this ribosomal RNA (301 nucleotides) under uncultured bacterium. RNAcentral describes it as "partial 16S ribosomal RNA". It matches the Rfam family "Bacterial small subunit ribosomal RNA", at positions 509 to 807 of the family's 1533-position model. The record is from RNAcentral.
CAGUCGCCGCGGUAAUACGUAGGUGGCAAGCGUUGUUCGGAAUUACUGGGCGUAAAGCGCACGUAGGCGGAUAUUUAAGUCAGGGGUGAAAUCCCAGAGCUCAACUCUGGAACUGCCUUUGAUACUGGGUAUCUUGAGUAUGGAAGAGGUUAGUGGAAUUGCGAGUGUAGAGGUGAAAUUCGUGGAUAUUCGCAGGAACACCAGUGGCGAAGGCGGCUAACUGGUCCAUAACUGACGCUGAGGUGCGAAAGCGUGGGGAGCAAACAGGAUUAGAUACCCCCGUAGUCCCUGUCUCUUAUAC